Drosophila novamexicana is the source of this 1106-nucleotide RNA transcript. It is a transcript of the gene named cyclin-dependent kinase 2, with no coding region annotated. NCBI's taxonomy places the organism in Eukaryota, Metazoa, Arthropoda, Insecta, Diptera, Drosophilidae. The transcript is spliced from 7 exons. The record is from RefSeq and is a predicted model, not a curated record.
GAAGAUUAUGCCAAAUCUGAUCCGUUAAACAUUUUUUGAGUUUAUCUAGGAGCAAUGACAACGGCUUUAGACAACUUUCAACGCGCCGAGAAAAUCGGCGAAGGCACAUACGGCAUUGUGUACAAAGCGUGCAACAAUCAAACUGGCCAGGACGUCGCACUCAAGAAAAUCCGCCUAGAAGGCGAAUCGGAAGGAGUUCCAUCGACUGCCAUACGGGAAAUAUCUUUAUUGAAAAACCUUAAGCACAAAAACGUAGUACAACUUUUUGAUGUUGUUAUAUCUGGCAACAAUCUAUACAUGAUAUUCGAGUACCUCAACAUGGAUCUCAAGAAACUUAUGGAUAAGAAAAAGGAUGUCUUUACACCACAGCUAAUUAAAAGCUACAUGUAUCAGAUAUUCGAUGCACUCGACUUUUGCCACACGAAUCGAAUACUGCAUCGGGAUCUCAAGCCGCAGAAUCUACUUGUUGAUACGGCAGGCAAUAUUAAGCUAGCUGAUUUCGGUUUGGCUCGUGCAUUCAAUGUGCCCAUGCGCGCCUAUACACAUGAGGUAGUAACACUUUGGUAUCGGGCGCCUGAAAUACUGCUGGGCACCAAGUUCUAUUCGACGGGCGUGGACAUCUGGAGCCUGGGCUGUAUAUUUUCCGAAAUGAUCAUGCGGCGUUCGUUGUUUCCAGGCGACAGCGAAAUCGAUCAAUUGUAUCGCAUCUUUCGCACACUAAGCACACCCGAUGAAAGCAAAUGGCCGGGUGUUACACAGCUGCCGGACUUUAAGGCAAAGUUUCCCAAAUGGGAAGCAUCCAAUGUGCCAACGGCCAUACGCGAACAUGAAGCAAACGAUCUCAUUAUGUCGAUGCUGUGCUACGAUCCAAAUCUGCGCAUAUCUGCCAAGGAUGCACUUCAACAUGCCUACUUUCACAAUGUGCAGCAUGUAAAAGAUGUGGCAUUGCCUGUGGACCCCAAUGCUGGCAACGCGUCACGGCUUACGCAGCUCGUUUGACGCCUACUUAACGCUCCACAUUAUAAUGAUCACGUUUUCUGUGAUUGUAUAAUGUCAACUUCAUUUCACAUCAACACAUACCACAGUCAGACUAACAAACACCAUCA